RNAcentral lists this ribosomal RNA (443 nucleotides) under uncultured methanogenic archaeon. RNAcentral describes it as "bacterial SSU rRNA". It matches the Rfam family "Archaeal small subunit ribosomal RNA", at positions 915 to 1357 of the family's 1478-position model. Lineage: Archaea; Methanobacteriati; Methanobacteriota. The record is from RNAcentral.
ACGCCGGGAAACUCACCGGACAAGACAGCUGAAUGAUAGUCGGGCUGAAGACUCUACUUGACUAGCUGAGAGGAGGUGCAUGGCCGUCGUCAGUUCGUACUGUGAAGCAUCCUGUUAAGUCAGGCAACGAGCGAGACCCACGCCAACAGUUGCUAGCUCGUCCUCCGGGAUGGAGAGGACACUGUUGGGACCGCCUCUGCUAAAGAGGAGGAAGGAAUGGGCAACGGUAGGUCAGCAUGCCCCGAAUUGUCCGGGCUACACGCGGGCUACAAUGGGUGGGACAAUGGGUAUCGACACCGAAAGGUGAAGGCAAUCUCCUAAACCCAUCCUUAGUUCGGAUUGUGGGCUGCAACUCGCCCACAUGAAGCUGGAAUCCGUAGUAAUCGUGUUUCAAAAUAGCACGGUGAAUAUGUCCCUGCUCCUUGCACACACCGCCCGUCAAG